UCUGAAUCUACUGUGGUUCUGUUGGGUCUCAGCUUGUUGUUCAGAUUUUCUUCAUCAAUUCUUUGGAUCAUUUGAACAAACUGUGAAGCUAGAAAGUGUGUGUGAGCUGAUGUGGAUUCAGCAGCAUGGAUCAGUGUGAGGACAGAGAGGAGGGAGUCCCUCCCUCUAAAACCACUUUGUGUGGGGAAGAUGAGAGCCAGAGCAAAGGUCAGAGGAUCCAUCAUAGACUAAAACCAAAACCAGAACCAGAACCAGAACCCAGCUGUGUGUCCUUUAAGAGCAACCAGUCAAAGGAUGACGUCAUUGACUUUAAAUCUCCUGGAUCUCCACCAUCA
Molecule: long non-coding RNA, 335 nt
Organism: Poeciliopsis prolifica (blackstripe livebearer)
Lineage: Eukaryota; Metazoa; Chordata; Actinopteri; Cyprinodontiformes; Poeciliidae
Exons: 3
Source: RefSeq, a predicted model, not a curated record